RNAcentral lists this long non-coding RNA (3265 nucleotides) under Homo sapiens (human). Its description in RNAcentral is "non-protein coding lnc-GPR183-4:1". Lineage: Eukaryota; Metazoa; Chordata; Mammalia; Primates; Hominidae. The record is from RNAcentral.
ACUAUUAAAGUAUCUCCUUUGCUGUCUGUUACCUGAGUCUCACUUAACCAGCGUUAAACUUCCAUCAUUCUAGCCCAACAGUUAUAAAUAUCUUUAUUUCUUUUUGAACAAAACAUAUUUCCUAUUAGACUGGAAAUUUUGACACACUCAAAUGUUUGAAGUCCCAAGAGGAAGACAGCUAAAAUAAAAGGAAUUGAGCAGCAAAGCAACUCAGAAAAGCAGAAAUGAAAACAGAUGUUAAACCUCUUUAAAACAAAUUUUUACUAAUAGCCUCAACCAAAGCUAUUUCAGUCAACUACUAGAAAUAUUCUACCUAGUCAAAAGUUCUCAACAAGCUUCCUAGGUCAUGAGCUCCUCAAGGGUGUGGGCUAACUCUUUCCAGGGUUCUAUCUACCACCCAGCAUCAUGCAUGUCAUGACUCUCCAUCAUGGGUGAUUUUGCCCCCCAAGUGUCAUUUGGCAUUAUCUGGAGACAUUUUUAGUUGUCAUGACUGGGGUAAGACUGGGGAAAGGAGGUUUUGCUAACAGCAUACACUGGGUGGAGGCCAGUGAUGCUGCCAGCCACCCUGCAGUGCACGGGACCGCCCCCACCGCAAAGGGUUAUGCAACUAAAAUGUCAAAAGUGCUGAGGGUGAGGAAACUCUAGCUUAGGUCAAUGAUGCCACUGCCCUUCAUGUUCAAAUACAAAAUCACUUAUCAUGUGGCUUCAUGUAGACUUCUGGCAACAGCUUACACGCCCUUUUAAACUGGAUACAUUAGGUCUGCUCCCUGGUAAGACACUCUGGCCACUGAGACCGCAGUUUGAAAUUCCUGCAGUGUUAAAAGCCUGAGUCUCCUUUCACAAUUAGCCAGCAAUCCAUAAGAAAAUAGCGCUGAAGGUUUCUGAGCCUGUUUCCUCAAAGUAGAUGCGAGUUCUCACCUUCCAGGGCUGUUCUAAGGAGAGAAAGUGGCACACCUGCAGAGUGUCUGGGAUGAGCCUGGCGUGUGCUUGCUGACUACCAAGGUGACAUAGUACCAAGUACAAUGCCGGACACAUGGUAUCCAACACCCAAAUACUGAACUGAGCCCAAAGUGUGAGAACUUUUUGGUUGAGAAAGGAGAUAUCUUGUGAAUAUAAGAAUGAAUGGAUUAUAUGCUUCUCUCUUAGGUAAGAUGCUGGAAAUGAUUUUAUAAGUCCACAUUUCAAUCCUUAAAAAAAAAAAUCACUGAACCCAAAUGUGAAAUUCAACUUUUAUACUUUUUUGUUGUUGCUGUUGUUUUUUUUUGUUUUGUUUUGUUUUGUUUUUUUUGAGAUGGAGUCUCGCUCUGUCACCCAGGCUGGAGUACCAUGGUGUGAUCUCAUCUCACUGCAACCUCCUCUGCCUCCUGGGUUCAAGCUAUUCUCCUGCCUCAGCCUCCCAAGUAGCUGGGAUUACAGGUGCCCGCCAACACACCUGGCUUAUUUUUGUAUUUUUAGCAGAGAUGGAGUUUCACUAUGUUGGCCACGCUGGUCUCAAACUCCUGACCUCAAGUGAUCUGCCUGCCUCGGCCUCCCAAAGUGAUGGGAUUACAGGCGUGAGCCACCACGCCCAGCCUACAUUUUUCUCUUAAGUAACAGAUUUGAGGUAGCUUACUGAGUGAGAAAGAGAGAGAGAGAGAGAGAGAGAGGGAAAGAAGAAGGAAGGAAGAAGGGAGGGAAGGAAGAAAGGAAAAAGGACAUUAGCAGAGACACAAUAAUUUAGUGCAAAAAAAUAACUGAAGCAACUAGCAUGUGGCAGACCGAUCCCAGUCAGCUUUCUUUGUCCCUUUGGUAUUAAAGAACACUCUUCACUACUCCAUGCUGAGGGAGCUGUAAGAGAGAGUAAGAUCCUGCUCUUUCAAAAGCAUCCAGUUGAGAGAGUGGUCAAUUAGGUAAAUAAUUACCAUCUCAAGUAAUGAAUGUUUCACAUAACUUACAAGCACAAAGUUAACUGGGAGCAAGAAGGAAGGAGAGGUUAAUUCCAACUCUGGCUGGAGCAGGGUUUCGUGGAGCAGAGCUACCCAAGGGGACACUUGAAGUUCUCCUUGUUUUCUUGGUAGAAGUUUGUCAAGCAAAGGGGAGAAGGGAUGUUGUAACCACAAUUGUCGUAAUAAAUGAAUCCAGAGAAAUCUGUAAUGAUGUAUGCGUGACAGGCAGUAGUGAGUAAUGCAAUUUAGCUGACAUGCAGAGUACAAGGAAGGAAUGACAGAAAAUGAGGCUGGGAAGAUUGGCUGGAGCUCUGAGGUGUGUCACAAGCAAGUUAAACUUUAUAAAACAGCAGGAGGAAGCCAUAGGAGAUUUCUCAAGGUGUAAAGGAAUAAGACCAGAUCUCCUUUGUAGAUAAAAUUAGGGGAGUGGGGCAGUGCAGAUGAUGGCAUUGAGAUGGUGACAGGGAGAACAGUUAGGAGGCUACAGCAAUAGUCCAAACCAAAGGAGAUGAAAUCAAAAGAUCAAAUACUUUUCAUUAAUCUAUUUGCUCUAUCAAUCCAUCCAUCUCACAGUUGUGUCCACUAUGUGGGAGCCACUAUGCUAACCAAGUGCUAUCAACUGAAUGUUUCUGUCCUCUCCAAAUUCACAUGUUAAAAUCCUAACCCCCAGUGUGAUGCUCUUAGGAGGUGGGGCUUUUGAGUGGUGAUUAGGUCAUGAGGGUAGAGUCUUCACAAAUAGGAUUAGUGCCCUUAUAAAAGGGAACCCAUUGAACUCUCUGCUUUCUGCCAUGUGAGGACACCACGAAAAGACAGCCCCAAACACCAAAUCUGCCAGUGCCUUGAUCCUGGACUUCUCAGCCUCCAGAACUGUGAGAAAUAAAUUUCGGUUGUUUAUAAGUCACACAGUCUAGGGCAUUUUGUUAGAGGAGCCUGAACAGGCUAAGGCAGUGAGGCAUCAUUAGUGAGACAAACUAACACAGUCUCCUCCUGGCACAAAGUCUGUAUUCUAGUGGAGGUGGCAGGUAUCAAAUCAUUUGUUACAUCUUAUUUACUAUCUAUAGUGAUGAGUGCUAUAAGAAAGAAAAAUGUUCUAAGAAAGCAUAUCACAAGAGACUGUGACCUAGUCUGAGGGUGGGGGUAGUCAAAGACAGCUUCUGCAAAAAAUUACCUUUAAGCUUCUCUUGAAACACUUGAAUGGUGGCAGUUUAUUCUCUCACAUCCUUCAUUCUAGAUACAAAUUUUGAUCAACUUUUUAUUAGUCAACUUUGCUCUGUGCAAUCACAUUCAAGCAUUUAAGUAUUUAUUUACUAAAAUCCCCGGUAGGGCUAACCAAACCAGUA